Molecule: transfer RNA, 31 nt
Filed under: Lemur catta (Ring-tailed lemur)
Lineage: Eukaryota; Metazoa; Chordata; Mammalia; Primates; Lemuridae
Description: partial tRNA-Thr
Source: RNAcentral
AGACAUGGAGAACCCCAUCCUCCCAAGGACA